CCCAGUGCCCGGCAACUUGGCCGCGCAGAUCCGGGACGGGUCUCGCCCUAAUUUUUCUCCGGGAGCUGAAGUAAGGGGAGGCCAAGAUUCCAAACGCCCCCAAAUGCUUCCAAAGGAGAAAGCCACACCACACCGGCUUUCAGGAUCUUCGUUCUCCAACCAGCGAUGGAACCAGGGCCCCAGCAGUGAAAGCGCUGAGUCCUAACCACUGGACCACCAGGGAUAGGUGCUGCUCAAAAUACAUACACAGAACUUCCCUGGUGGUG
Molecule: non-coding RNA, 266 nt
Organism: Delphinapterus leucas (beluga whale)
Lineage: Eukaryota; Metazoa; Chordata; Mammalia; Artiodactyla; Monodontidae
Source: RefSeq, a predicted model, not a curated record